This 470-nucleotide long non-coding RNA is filed under the name Ananas comosus (pineapple). Its description in RNAcentral is "long non-coding RNA (ACOM_LNC044428)". The record is from RNAcentral. Lineage: Eukaryota; Viridiplantae; Streptophyta; Magnoliopsida; Poales; Bromeliaceae.
GGAGAGAGAGGGCUCAGCCCACUCUAUUAAAGGCCAUUUUGCAUUUAGACCCCUCAGCUUUUCAUCUCUCACGCAGCUGGCACUGGGCAGUUUUCGCCCAGAGGGACCGGUCUCCCCGACAAAGGACCGGUCCCCGAGAGCUCUCCCUGCAGUCUAGGGACUUUUCGCGUUCGGGAACCGGUCCUCACCUUAGGGACCGGUCCCUGGGAGACCGGUCUCUCCUAAGAGACCGGUUCCCGAACGGGGAACCUUCAGGACUUAGCCAAAUUUGGCUUUCUCCCACGGGUGUCGCGCACGGGGACCGGUCCCCUCAGCCAGGGACCGGUCGCAUCGACUUCCAGCGCGACCAUCAGCUACGGGGGACCGGUUCUUCCCUCCAAGGACCGAUCCCCGAGAGCAAAAAUCUGCUGAAUCUAGAUUUCAUCCGUUUGCUCUCGCAGACUCAACUCCAAAGCACUUUUUAUGUUUUG